AUGAAACACAGCAAAAAAGAAAAAUCACCAAUGGCUUCCCUUCGCCUUGCUUUUGUGCUGCUCAUCUCCCUGGUGUCCCCCACCAGCUCCUGCACACAGCAGGAGAAGAUCUGCCUUCUCCGAUUCCUCGCGGGGCUCUCGCAGGACGGUGGCCUCGCGGCGUCAUGGCGGGACGGCGAGGAUUGCUGCGAGUGGGAGGGGGUCACCUGCGGCACAGACAGGGCGGUCGCCGGUGUCUCGCUGGCUUCUAAGAGCCUCGAGGGGAACAUCUCAGAGUCCCUUGGUAGCCUCGACGGCCUGAAGCUCCUUGACCUCUCGCACAACUCGCUGUCCGGUUGCCUGCCGCGGGGAUUGGUGUCUUCUCCCAGCAUCGUUGUUCUAGAUGUCAGCUUCAACCGCCUCAGUGGAGCACUGCACGAGCUGCCAUCAUCGACCCCUCCCCGGCCUCUGCAGGUACUAAACAUAUCGAGUAACUCGUUCACUGGGAUGUUCCCAUCCACCAUAUGGGAAUCAAUGGAGAAUCUUAUCGCGCUCAAUGGCAGCAAUAAUAGCUUCACUGGGCAGAUACCAACUCAUUUCUGCAACGGUUCACCAUCUUUCGCUGUGCUUGAUCUGAGUUACAACAAACUCCGUGGUAGCAUCCCCCGAGGACUUGGUGAUUGCUCUGUUCUGAGAGUGCUCAAUGCUGGCUACAACAACCUCAGUGGAACCCUCCCAGAUGAACUCUUCCGUGCUACCUCGUUGGAGCACCUGUCUUUCCGUAACAAUGAGUUACAUGGAGUACUGGAUGGUGCGCACAUAAUCAACCUCGGCAAUCUCGUGACCCUGAAUCUUGGAAGGAAUAACUUCAGUGGCAAGCUUCCAGAUUCUAUAGGUCAGCUCAAGAGAAUGGAGGAGUUAUAUUUUGACCGCAACAACAUGUCAGGGGACCUACCAUCAGCUCUGAGUAACUGCACAAAUCUUAUAACAGUCGACUUCAAGAGCAACAAAUUCAGUGGAGAACUUAACAAGGUUGAUUUCUCCAACUUUCCCAAUCUGACAACUUUAGACCUUCUGUACAACAACUUCACUGGCACAAUUCCAGAAAGUAUAUACUCUUGCAGCAAACUCAUUGCCCUGCGGCUAUCUGCAAACAACUUGCAUGGACAACUGUCGCCAAAAAUAGGCGAUUCGAAGCACCUAGCCUUCCUUUCACUUGCUUUCAACUCAUUCGUAAAUAUCACAAAUGCACUUCACAUUCUACAGAACUGCAGGCAGCUUACCAUCCUGCUUAUCGGGGAUAACUUCAUGGCAGAGCUCAUGCCUGAGGAUGACAUAAUUGAUGGCUUUCAGAAUCUUCAGGUCCUGGAUAUAGGAGGUUGCCAGUUGUUAGGUAAUAUGCCAUUUUGGAUAUCGAAGCUACCAAACUUACAAAUAUUAAACUUAGCUAACAAUCAACUCACUGGAUCAAUACCAGCCUGGAUCAAAACCCUAAGCAACCUGUUCUAUCUGGACAUAUCAAACAACAACCUCACAGAGGGAAUUCCAACAACACUGAUGGAUAUGCCAAUGCUGAAGUUAGAGAAGACUAAAGCCCAUUUAGACCCAAGGGUGUUCAAACUAACUAUUUAUACUGCUCUAUCACGACAAUACCGCCGAUUGAAUGCUUUCCCUAAAGUGCUGGAUUUAAGCAACAAUAAAUUCACUGGUGAGAUCCCUUGGGAGAUCGGUCAGCUGAAAUCCCUCCGUUCUCUCAAUUUGAGUUCGAAUGACUUGACGGGACAGCUCCCACAGUCAAUAUGCAAUCUCACAAGUCUUCUGGCACUAGACUUGUCCAAUAACAAUCUCAUGGGCCCAAUCCCAUCUGGACUGAACAGCCUGCACUCCCUUUCGGCGUUCAAUAUUUCCAAGAACGACCUAGAAGGUCCUAUUCCAUCUGGAGGCCAGUUUAACACAUUUGAGACUUCGAGCUUUGAUGGGAAUGCAAGGCUCUGUGGUUCAAUGCUCAUUCAAAAGUGUGAUUCAACAGAAGCACCUCCAGCCACCACUAUGUCAAAACAACGAACGGGCUAUAAGGUUGCCUUCAUGAUUGCUUUCAGUGCAUUCUUCGUCAUAGGGGUGUUGUAUGAUCAGGUAGUCUUAUCAAAAUAUUUUGGCUAG
RNAcentral lists this ribosomal RNA (2139 nucleotides) under Triticum aestivum (bread wheat). RNAcentral's name for it is "partial small subunit ribosomal RNA". Lineage: Eukaryota; Viridiplantae; Streptophyta; Magnoliopsida; Poales; Poaceae. The record is from RNAcentral.